GACGAACGCUGGCGGCGUGCUUAACACAUGCAAGUCGAACGGGCCCGCCCCUGUUUUUGGGGGUGGGUUGAGUGGCGAACGGGUGAGUAUCACGUGAGUAACCUGCCCCCUGCUCCUGGAUAACUGCUUGAAAGGGCGGCUAAUACGGGGUGUGCCGGCUGGUCCGCAUGGGCCUGGUCGGGAUAGUUUCAUCUUCGGGUGUUUCGGUGGGGGAUGGGCUCGCGGCCUAUCAGCUUGUUGGUGGGGUGAUGGCCCACCAAGGCGGUGACGGGUAGCCGGCCUGAGAGGGUGGGCGGCCACACUGGGACUGAGACACGGCCCAGACUCCUGCGGGAGGCAGCAGUGGGGGGUAUGGCACAAUGGGCGGAAGCCUGAUGCAGCGACGUCGCGUGAGGGAUGGAGGCCUUCGGGUUGUGAACCUCUUUCUCCGGUGGUGAAGGCCCUGUCCGUUGCGGCGGGGUUGACGGUAGCCGGGUAUGAAGCGCCGGCUAACUACGUG
This 499-nucleotide ribosomal RNA is filed under the name uncultured bacterium. RNAcentral's name for it is "partial 16S ribosomal RNA". It matches the Rfam family "Bacterial small subunit ribosomal RNA", at positions 28 to 507 of the family's 1533-position model. The record is from RNAcentral.